GACGUAGGGUGCAAGCGUUGUCCGGAUUUACUGGGCGUAAAGAGCGCGUAGGCGGCUCGUUAAGUGUGAAGCUAAAUCUCCAGGCUCAACCUGGAAACUAUUUCGCAUACUGGCGGGCUGGAGUGAUGCAGAGGUGGAUAGAAUUCCCGGUGUAGCGGUGAAAUGCGUUGAUAUCCGGAGGAAUACCAAAGGCGAAGGCAGUGUUCUGGGUGGCUCCUGACGCUCAGGUGCGAAAGCUAGGGGAGCGAACGGG
RNAcentral lists this ribosomal RNA (253 nucleotides) under uncultured prokaryote. Its description in RNAcentral is "partial 16S ribosomal RNA". It matches the Rfam family "Bacterial small subunit ribosomal RNA", at positions 524 to 776 of the family's 1533-position model. The record is from RNAcentral.